RNAcentral lists this ribosomal RNA (955 nucleotides) under Lysobacter antibioticus. Its description in RNAcentral is "bacterial SSU rRNA". It matches the Rfam family "Bacterial small subunit ribosomal RNA", at positions 39 to 977 of the family's 1533-position model. Lineage: Bacteria; Pseudomonadati; Pseudomonadota; Gammaproteobacteria; Lysobacterales; Lysobacteraceae. The record is from RNAcentral.
GUGGCGGGCGGGACUACGAUGCAAGUCGAACGGCAGCACAGAGGAGCUUGCUCCUUGGGUGGCGAGUGGCGGACGGGUGAGGAAUACGUCGGAAUCUGCCUAUUUGUGGGGGAUAACGUAGGGAAACUUACGCUAAUACCGCAUACGACCUACGGGUGAAAGCGGAGGACCUUCGGGCUUCGCGCAGAUAGAUGAGCCGACGUCGGAUUAGCUAGUUGGCGGGGUAAAGGCCCACCAAGGCGACGAUCCGUAGCUGGUCUGAGAGGAUGAUCAGCCACACUGGAACUGAGACACGGUCCAGACUCCUACGGGAGGCAGCAGUGGGGAAUAUUGGACAAUGGGCGCAAGCCUGAUCCAGCCAUGCCGCGUGUGUGAAGAAGGCCUUCGGGUUGUAAAGCACUUUUGUCCGGAAAGAAAAGCUUCGGGUUAAUACCCCGAGGUCAUGACGGUACCGGAAGAAUAAGCACCGGCUAACUUCGUGCCAGCAGCCGCGGUAAUACGAAGGGUGCAAGCGUUACUCGGAAUUACUGGGCGUAAAGCGUGCGUAGGUGGUUUGUUAAGUCUGAUGUGAAAGCCCUGGGCUCAACCUGGGAAUGGCAUUGGAAACUGGCUUACUAGAGUGCGGUAGAGGGUAGUGGAAUUCCCGGUGUAGCAGUGAAAUGCGUAGAUAUCGGGAGGAACAUCUGUGGCGAAGGCGACUACCUGGACCAGCACUGACACUGAGGCACGAAAGCGUGGGGGAGCAAACAGGAUUAGAUACCCUGGUAGUCCACGCCCUAAACGAUGCGAACUGUAUGUUGGGAGCAACUUGGCUCUCAGUAUCGAAGCUAACGCGUUAAGUUCGCCGCCCUGGGAAGUACGGUCGCAGGACUGGAAACUCAAAGGGAAUUGAACGGGGGCCCCGCCACAAGCCGGUGGGGAGUAAUGGUGUGGAUUAAAUUCCGAAAGUGCCCUA